GAUGAGUAAGAGGGCGUGAACACUGUGCAGAAGAUGUUGGCGUGAGCCUCAUUGGAACAGUGUUUAGUGCAGAUCUUGGUGGUAGUAGCAAAUAUUCAAAUGAGAACUUUGAAGACCGAAGUGGAGAAGGGUUCCGUGUGAACAGCAUUUGAUCACGGGUUAUUCGAUCCUGAGGCAUAGGGAAGCUCCUUGAAAUACAAGAGCUCUUCGCUCGUUGCCAAAAGGGAAAGCGGUUAAUAUUCCGCUAACUGGACGUGGAUAAUGUGUGGUAACACAAGUGAGCUCGGAGACGUCAGCUCAAACUCCUGGAAGAGUUAUCUUUUCUUUUUAACAGUCUAUCGCCCUGGAAUUGGAUUAUCCAGAGCUAGGGCUUCAUGGCUGGCAGAGCAGUACACUCUAAGUACUGUCAGGUGCGUUUGAGAUGACCCUUGAAAAUCCGAGUAAGAGAUUUAUUCGCACGCCAGGUCGUACCAAUAACCGCAUCAGGUCUCCAAGGUUA
This 499-nucleotide ribosomal RNA is filed under the name uncultured eukaryote. RNAcentral's name for it is "eukaryotic LSU rRNA". It matches the Rfam family "Eukaryotic large subunit ribosomal RNA", at positions 1376 to 1875 of the family's 3401-position model. The record is from RNAcentral.